CUAAGGAGCUCACUGAGGCUUCGGCCUCGAGCACCCAGUCAAUGCGAUGGCUGAAACGGUCGACCGAAAGGCCGGCCGGACACACUGUUCAGUCGUGAGGGAGCGGGGAAUGCCCGCCUCUCCGGCACCUUGAGAACUGCAUAGCGAGCACAAGCGUCUUGGAUUCUACC
Molecule: unclassified non-coding RNA, 170 nt
Filed under: uncultured Actinomycetes bacterium
Lineage: Bacteria; Bacillati; Actinomycetota; Actinomycetes
Description: uncultured actinobacterium 16S-23S ribosomal RNA intergenic spacer
Source: RNAcentral